GAGGGUGUAGCUCAGUAGUAGAGUGUGUGUUUAGCACGCAUGAAGUCCUGGGCUCAAUUCCCAGUACCUCUA
This 72-nucleotide transfer RNA is filed under the name Camelus bactrianus (Bactrian camel). It matches the Rfam family "tRNA". Rfam says of the family: Transfer RNA (tRNA) molecules are approximately 80 nucleotides in length. The record is from Rfam by way of RNAcentral. RNAcentral also lists the same sequence under 2 other names. Lineage: Eukaryota; Metazoa; Chordata; Mammalia; Artiodactyla; Camelidae.